GACGAACGCUGGCGGCGUGCCUAAUACAUGCAAGUAGAACGCAGUUGCGAACGGGUGAGUAACGCGUAGGAACCUGCCUGGUAGCGGGGGAUAACUACGCGAAAGCGUAGCUAAUACCGCAUACUAUUGGAGCGGCCGAUAUCGGAUUAGCUAGUGGGUGGGGUAACGGCUCACCAAGGCGACGAUCCGUAGCUGGUUUGAGAGGACGACCAGCCACACUGGGACUGAGACACGGCCCAGACUCCUACGGGAGGCAGCAGUGGGGAAUUUUGGACAAUGGGGGAAACCCUGAUCCAGCCAUCCCGCGUGUGCGAUGAAGGCCUUCGGGUUGUAAAGCACUUUUGGCAGGAAAGCGGUACCGGAAUAGAAAGCCACGGCUAACUACGUGCCAGCAGCCGCGGUAAUAC
Molecule: ribosomal RNA, 407 nt
Filed under: uncultured bacterium
Lineage: Bacteria
Description: partial 16S ribosomal RNA
Rfam family: Bacterial small subunit ribosomal RNA
Source: RNAcentral